This 323-nucleotide ribosomal RNA is filed under the name uncultured Pseudomonadota bacterium. RNAcentral's name for it is "bacterial SSU rRNA". It matches the Rfam family "Bacterial small subunit ribosomal RNA", at positions 30 to 351 of the family's 1533-position model. The record is from RNAcentral. Lineage: Bacteria; Pseudomonadati; Pseudomonadota.
AUUGAACGCUGGCGGCACGCCUAACACAUGCAAGUCGAGCGGUAGCGGGAUUAGUAGCAAUACUAAUUGCCGACGAGCGGCGGACGGGUGAGGAAGACGUAGGAACUUGCCCUUUAGAGUGGGAUAACCAAGGGAAACUUUGGCUAAUACCGCAUAAACUCGAGAGAGCAAAGCUGCCUUAGGGUGGCGCUGAAGGAGAGGCCUGCGUCCGAUUAGCUAGUUGGUAGGGUAAGAGCCUACCAAGGCGAUGAUCGGUAACUGGUCUGAGAGGACGACCAGUCACACUGGGACUGAGACACGGCCCAGACUCCUACGGGAGGCAG